GGCGCACGGGUGAGUAACGCGUGGGUAACCUGCCCUGUACACACGGAUAACAUACCGCAAGGUAUGCUAAUACGGGAUAAUAUAUAAAGGUCGCAUGGCUUUUAUAUCAAAGCUCCGGCGGUACAGGAUGGACCCGCGUCUGAUUAGCUAGUUGGUAAGGUAACGGCUUACCAAGGCGACGAUCAGUAGCCGACCUGAGAGGGUGAUCGGCCACACUGGAACUGAGACACGUCCCAGCCCCCUACGGGAGGCAGCCGUGGGGAAUAUUGCACAAUGGCCGAAAGCCUGAUGCAGCAACGCCGCGUGAGCGAUGAAGGCCUUCGGGUCGUAAACUCCUGUCAGUUGGGACGAAAAGCCGUCGGUCAAUAGCCGGCGGUCAUGACGGUACCAGCAGAGGAAGCCCCGGCUAACUCCGUGCCAGCAGCAGCGG
RNAcentral lists this ribosomal RNA (430 nucleotides) under uncultured bacterium. RNAcentral's name for it is "partial 16S ribosomal RNA". It matches the Rfam family "Bacterial small subunit ribosomal RNA", at positions 97 to 520 of the family's 1533-position model. The record is from RNAcentral.